Non-coding RNA from Moniliophthora roreri, 100 nucleotides. Lineage: Eukaryota; Fungi; Basidiomycota; Agaricomycetes; Agaricales; Marasmiaceae. The record is from Rfam.
UGCCCCAUGGCUGAGUUGGUUACAGCGUCCGACUGUUAUUUCAAACCCUUGGUUGGCUGUAGCAAUCGGAAGGUCGUGAGUUCGAGCCUCACUGGGGCAG